Candida albicans SC5314 is the source of this 83-nucleotide transfer RNA. It matches the Rfam family "tRNA". From Rfam's summary of the family: Transfer RNA (tRNA) molecules are approximately 80 nucleotides in length. NCBI's taxonomy places the organism in Eukaryota, Fungi, Ascomycota, Pichiomycetes, Serinales, Debaryomycetaceae. The record is from Rfam.
GGUCCUAUAGUGUAGUUGGUUAUCACCCAAGGUUUUGACUUCAAAGCCUCCUUGUAACUCCGGUUCGAAUCCGGAUAGGACCU